This is a non-coding RNA of Meleagris gallopavo (turkey), 769 nucleotides long. The record is from RefSeq and is a predicted model, not a curated record. Lineage: Eukaryota; Metazoa; Chordata; Aves; Galliformes; Phasianidae.
GAAGAAUGGGCCACAACCCGUUCCAGCCUAAAGGCACCUCCUCCAAGGUCAGCCCGAGGGGCUUACAGGGAACACCCCUAUGGUAGAUAUUGAAGGUCCUCCUCAGCUGUGACCUCAUCUCAAAGACAAUUAAUAGCCUGUGGUCUCCGCAUAAACAGCAACAAGACAAGGCUCUGGACAGCUAAGCAGCCGAUCUGCUGAGAAGUGCUCAGAAUUUUGGAGCUCUUAGGGAAGUACUGUACCUUUUGAAUGGUACUCAAGGGACUGAAUGUGAUCAGCAUCAUUUGAAAUAAAUCAGUGGGAUCUGAAACACUGAGCCUUGGACUGGGAGUCUCCCAAAGCCCAGCACUGUGAAUUAUGAACCCCCUUUAGCACCCUCUCCAGCAUUUGUUGGCACUUAGACUCGCAGCAAUCUUCCAGCCUAUCAGAUCUUAUGUAUCCCAGAAGGUGCACCCAUAAUCAAGUCUUUAUUGGGGACUUCUUGACAAGACCAGCUCCAGCCACUGUUCCUGGCCUCAUACAAGAUGUUCUAGAAAGGAUUUCCUUCAGCCCCACAGCAGGACAAGGAACCAAGUGCUCCAGAGAACCAAGUGAAUUGUUACCUGUCACAGCAUCCCAAUGUUCAUCUCUUAAUACUUGUGGGUGUGAUACAAACCACCUAAAAGAGAUUAACUGUGUCUUUCACUUCCAAGACUAGACUGUUUCCUGUGUUCCAUCAGUGCAGUUCUGCUGCUGCACAUUUUGGUUUGGUUAGCAGGCCUUUAAUCAA